RNAcentral lists this ribosomal RNA (369 nucleotides) under Clostridioides difficile. Its description in RNAcentral is "bacterial LSU rRNA". It matches the Rfam family "Bacterial large subunit ribosomal RNA", at positions 2356 to 2724 of the family's 2925-position model. The record is from RNAcentral. Lineage: Bacteria; Bacillati; Bacillota; Clostridia; Peptostreptococcales; Peptostreptococcaceae.
GGCAAAAGAGAGCUUGAUUGCAAGACAUACAGGUCGAGCAAGGAUGAAAAUCGGACUUAGUGAUCCGGUGGUUCUGCGUGGAAGGGCCAUCGCUCAACGGAUAAAAGCUACCCUGGGGAUAACAGGCGUAUCUCCCCCAAGAGUCCACAUCGACGGGGAGGUUUGGCACCUCGAUGUCGGCUCAUCACAUCCUGGGGCUGUAGUAGGUCCCAAGGGUUGGGCUGUUCGCCCAUUAAAGUGGUACGCGAGCUGGGUUCAGAACGUCGUGAGACAGUUCGGUCCCUAUCCGUCGCAGGCGUAGGAAAUUUGAGAAGACCUGUCCUUAGUACGAGAGGACCGGGAUGGACGUACCUCUGGUGUACCAGUUGU